CGCUCCAUCCAGGUACCGCAGUCGAAUGUUGAUUGUCCUGCUUGAGUUAUUCCAUUUGGUUCUGUUACUUUUAAAUCGUAUGCCGUGUGCCUCUUUUGUUCUGUAAAACAGAACGUUGGGUGGUACAUACAAGGUGAUUGAAGGUGGCAGUGAGAAAAAUCGACAUGGCGAGACGGAAGCACAAUUUUUCAAGUGUCAGGGAAAUUCCCAAAUGAUCCGCUUGAGCUCAAACAACAAUACAGUGUGAUAAGAUAAAACGUCCGACAAAUGAAACCUAUCCCAGUCAAAAGUCUUUGCUGUCGAAGUGGCCAUGACUGACAUUUGCUGCUCUGAUUGUGAUGCACUUAUUUCGCAAAAACGACACAAUUUCAAUAAACAAAAAACAACUACUAGUCUUCCAAACCUGAUUCAUGUGAAGAGUUCUUUUUCCUCAAGUUCAGUGAAAAAAAUGCUAGAAUUUGUCAUGGCACUCCAAUACCGCUAGAAAUCCAAAACGUCUAUUGAAGCGUUCUCAAAAAAUAAGAACUCAUGACGAGCCAGACUUAUGGGUCUGGCUGCAAGAAAACGUCCAUGAGUCCAAAGCUAAGGAUGCUUUGUCUCAUCGGCCCAACUCGAUCGGGGAAAGAAAUGGGGGGUGUUGCAUACGACACGAAACCCUGCCUGAGCACACACUCUCUGCUGACAAAAGAAGAACUGACUGAAUGGAUAUAUAGUACGUGGUACAUUUAGUACACUGAGAAUGAGGGGAUCAAGCACCCUUUUUUUCCUCCAUUGACUUGAGCACUGAGAAACGAUGGUAAUGAUCAAUAGACGCUCUGUUUGGAAGCCCAAGCUCAUGCUGUGAUCUCCAAGUUCGUCAAGAUACCACUGUUAAGGAUAAAGAGGCGGAGCGAGCGAGAGAGAGAGAGAGAGAGAGAGAGAGAGAGCAGGAAGAAAAAAAAAAUCCUGGGUUCGGUUAAUAAUAUGACACCUCUAAGGUUAAUUGCCAAUCAAGAAAUCGCCCCCAAAACCUCGGAAACCUGAUCAUCCAGCUACCACCGUCUUGGCGUCUCGAGGUCCGGAAUUCUCGUCAACUGGAAGGGCACUUCAUUAGCACCCCACUUUAAAAGUCCAUAAAACACUUUGGGGUAUUUAAGAGUGCCCGAAGAGUGUACCUUCGCCAAAAGAGACCUCUUUUUAUCAUCUCAUUCGCACCUGUGAAAUGGCCCUCCCCCUGAAUAGGAACGCGAUCUUUAUCCACCUUAUUUAUGACCCCUUGAGUUGCAUUGAGCUAUCAUUAUGAGAGGGAGUAAUGGCAGCAAAACUACCAAGCAAGCCUUAUCUGGCUGCCAAAACCUCCAUUCGUGUAAUGCAUCAAUACCUAACUGACAAUACGCACACACAUGUGGCAGCUUGAUCCGGCAGGAACCACUGCAUUUGAUCACUCGACCACGGAUCAUCACAGAACGUACACAACAUAUAGAACGUACGUAGAUCUUUGUUCAUGCAAACUUAAGCCAAGGAUAAUUGAGAAUCAAUCGGCUCCUUUGCUUUGAAUUGUAUUUUUAGCUCCGUCUUUUUCCGUUCCGUUUCCUGGUGAUUUGACGUUAAUUGCGUCACUUCCCUAGAUUUGCCAGAGUCAGGCAACCUAUCGAAUCCAGCCGGAUUGAGAAAAUGGAGUGAGGAAAAAAAAAGAGAAUCGUGUGCGCGAGUUCAUCAAGGUUUGUUAUGAUUGAAGACGGCGAGAGGCUCCCCUCAAAUCAGACGGAAGUUUUCUGCUCCCAAAAAAAAAGUUCCCUCUUUUUCCCCUCCUUCGUCAGGUUUUCUUUACAAAUCUCAAAUUGGGUUGACAAUACUAGGUUACCAACUUACUAGCGUGGACUUCUUGACUAUACCUAUGAAGAUUCGUUGUUUUCAAUGGAUGAAGCCAAAUUGCGAUUUGAGGGUUUGGCAAAGGUCUUUGUUGCUUUGAAACAAGUGCGACUAAUUCGUGCUCAUUCAAGUCUGUCCAAAGGUGGUAUUGUCCUCCAAAAUUUGGCUGCUCUGGCCGGAUUUUGUGUGGAUAGUGGUGAUUGAAUCUUUCAUAAUACGCUUUGAUACGUCUUGGUCAAUAGCUCCCAUGCAGGAGCAGGGGAGGCCUUUUCACAGACUGCUACAGAACAAACUCCUUCCAGCGAGUUCACUUUCUUUCUCCUCACUCCAGAAGUUCAGGAGGAAAAGUUGGAGAGAGCUGGCAACAAUGAAGUAUCCGGGCUCAAUUCUGCUUCAAUGGACCCUUCAAGGAAAGCAUUCCAAUCGCACGUAGCUACUAAACCCCAAGGGUGUGUGCGUGGGUGGGUGUGCAUGCGGUGUUUUAGCGAGGGAUUACUGCAGAACAUCCCCCACACCUACCUCUUAAGAAGCUCGCCACAAAGCUCUCUAUUCUCAAUUUUACGUUGUACAGGCAAAGUGUCUUUGAAAUGUGCGGGGUAUUUUUUGGUCCCCUCUUACCGGGAAAAAGGAGAAUUAGGUUUUGGGCCUCGCGGCGGGGAAAAUGAAUCUCGAGCGAUAUGUCAUAUUUUUCUCCUAUUUUAGUCGGCAUUCUCCACCGGUAAGACUAAUUACCCUCCAUUGCGGCUACCCCAUUAUCAAAGUGAACAGAAAUGAAACCAACCAAAGCCCACCGAUCCCGGGUUGAGCCUUGGCCAUUCUUGAGUCCGACCACAUGGAUGGAUGGAGAGGCCAGAAUAAUUAUCAUCCAUCAAGCGAGUUAUAUGCAUGCAAUUUUCGUGGCAGAUCCCUCGUUCUUUCAUAAGGAUCGACAUCAUCUACCCCAGCAGCAGCAGCAGCAGCAGCAGCAAUGACAGCAGUUCAUAAUGAACAUUGCUCAUGAAUUCAAUCCAAGGAGGACUUGACGCGUUGCUGGGCGAGAGAUUGAGGCUUCAUUUUAGGGCAAUUAAAUCCUCAUAGCGUCUCCAUGGCCUGAAUGACUGAUGGGAGUCCGU
This is a long non-coding RNA of Tigriopus californicus, 2963 nucleotides long. RefSeq lists it as uncharacterized. Lineage: Eukaryota; Metazoa; Arthropoda; Copepoda; Harpacticoida; Harpacticidae. The transcript has 3 exons. The record is from RefSeq and is a predicted model, not a curated record.